Long non-coding RNA from Aplysia californica (California sea hare), 410 nucleotides. RefSeq lists it as uncharacterized. The transcript is spliced from 2 exons. NCBI's taxonomy places the organism in Eukaryota, Metazoa, Mollusca, Gastropoda, Aplysiida, Aplysiidae. The record is from RefSeq and is a predicted model, not a curated record.
GAUGAGUCGGUCUGUACUGUAAAGGCAAAAUGCGACAAUGCAAUGUUUGGAUGAGUCGGUCUGUACUGUAAAGGCAAAAUGCGACAAUGCAAUGUUUGGUUGAGCUGGUUUAUAAAGGCAAAAUGUGUCAAGGGACAAUGCAAUGUUUGGUUGAGUCGGUCUAUAAAGGCAAAAUGUGACAAUGCAAUGUUUGGUUGAGUCAGUUUGUAGAGACAUGUACCGGCGUCUGUGGUAUAGAGGUUAGGUGCUCCGCUGUCUCGCUCAGGAGACCCGAAUUCCAUUCUUAAGUACGGAGAAAUUUUUUAUCAAGUAUUUCGGUCUCUCCCCUGGGAUGUUGUAUCAUUCUCAGCCCACCGCCUAAGUUACCAUAACUGUGUCGUUAGGGGCGUAAAGACACCUAUGUACCUUUU